Long non-coding RNA from Marmota flaviventris (yellow-bellied marmot), 490 nucleotides. RefSeq lists it as uncharacterized. The record is from RefSeq and is a predicted model, not a curated record. NCBI's taxonomy places the organism in Eukaryota, Metazoa, Chordata, Mammalia, Rodentia, Sciuridae.
GUGAGUGGCAAACUUAGGACAUCAGAGGAAGCCUGCUGACCAGGCUGGCCAGCGGACCACAGGGCGCGGAGGAUGGUCACUGGGCAGCAGAUUUCUUCAUUCCCCGGCGACUGCUCCAGGUUCCCAUGAUUCUUCUGGAUUCCCUCCUCCUGGCUCAGCAGAGGAUCUGUCCUCCUAAAUCAUGAAGACACCUGCCGGACCUUUCCAUGAAGAUGUUCGUUCAUCAGCCAACUCAAGUUAAAGACAUCUGAAGGUGAACUCACUGUCUCCUUCCAAAACCCACCUCUCCCUAUUCACUUUGCCUUUGAAGAAGCAGGUCAAUGAGAAAAUGUCCACACUGAAGUCCAUUCUCUGUUCUAAGGUAUAUCAACAGUUCAGUAAUUCUAAAAGACUUGAAUAUACAGAAAUGAAUAAAGAUCAUUGUGAAAUGAUUUUAUAGGAACGUGUUCUAUAAAUAUUGCUUAAGAGAGCGUACAACAGAUUGUCACCA